RNAcentral lists this unclassified non-coding RNA (200 nucleotides) under soil metagenome. RNAcentral's name for it is "partial contains internal transcribed spacer 2 and large subunit ribosomal RNA". The record is from RNAcentral.
UUCGAGCGUCAUUACAACCCUCAAGCUCUGCUUGGUAUUAGGCUUCACCCCUAGGGGCGGGCUUUAAAAUCAGUGGCGGUGCCAUUCGGCUUCAAGCGUAGUAAUUUUCUCGCUUUGGAGGACCGGGUGUGUGUUUGCCAAUAACCCCAAUUUAUAUAAAGGUUGACCUCGGAUCAGGUAGGGAUACCCGCUGAACUUAA